CGCGUAGGCGGUUGUGUGAGUGUGAUGUGAAAGCCCCGGGCUUAACCUGGGAAGAGCAUCGCAAACGACAUAACUGGAGUAGAUGAGAGGGUGGUGGAAUUUCCGGUGUAGCGGUGAAAUGCGUAGAGAUCGGAAGGAACGUCAAUGGCGAAGGCAGCCACCUGGCAUCAUACUGACGCUGAGGCGCGAAAGCGUGGGGAGCGAACAGGAUUAGAUACCCUGGUAGUCCACGCUGUAAACGAUGAGGACUAAAUGUUGGUAGGGGAACCUAUCGGUAUUGAAGCUAACGCGAUAAGUCUUCCGCCUGGGAAGUACGGCCGCAAGGUUGAA
Molecule: ribosomal RNA, 330 nt
Filed under: uncultured Aquicella sp.
Lineage: Bacteria; Pseudomonadati; Pseudomonadota; Gammaproteobacteria; Legionellales; Coxiellaceae
Description: bacterial SSU rRNA
Rfam family: Bacterial small subunit ribosomal RNA
Source: RNAcentral